This 21-nucleotide microRNA is filed under the name Anolis carolinensis (green anole). Its description in RNAcentral is "aca-miR-1388-3p". The record is from miRBase by way of RNAcentral. Lineage: Eukaryota; Metazoa; Chordata; Lepidosauria; Squamata; Anolidae.
AUCUCAGGUCCGUCAGCCCAC